RNAcentral lists this transfer RNA (65 nucleotides) under Morphostenophanes yunnanus. RNAcentral describes it as "tRNA-Asn". The record is from RNAcentral. Lineage: Eukaryota; Metazoa; Arthropoda; Insecta; Coleoptera; Tenebrionidae.
UUAAUUGAAACCAAAAAGAGGUCUACCACUGUUAAUGGUAUAAUUGAGCCAAAGCUCCAAUUAAA